Molecule: long non-coding RNA, 599 nt
Filed under: Piliocolobus tephrosceles (Ugandan red Colobus)
Lineage: Eukaryota; Metazoa; Chordata; Mammalia; Primates; Cercopithecidae
Description: lncRNA (ENSPTEG00000014375.1)
Source: RNAcentral
AACAAAUACAAAAAACAUUGUGUAUCUGAUAAUAUUAUAACUUAGGAGAUUAAGGAAAAAGUUCUGAAUAUUAAAAUGGAAAAUAAUGCCAAUGACACAUCGGAAUGUUCAAAAUCAGAUAGUAAUGAUAAAAAUAAUUCAAAAAAAAGAAAAUUAAGUGGUAAUGAACCCGUUUCAACUACUAAAAAGCAAGCCAAUAUAAUGACAAAAGAAUAUUUUUUAAGCAAUGCGAAAACAUUACAUUUGAAUUUAGCAGAUGAAUUAAAAUUAAAAUUAGAACCAAGAAUGUUCAGUACUGGUAGUUGUGGAUGGCAUAUUACUGAAAAGAUCCCUCUGCUAGUUGGAGAUUGUGACGUUCUUUGCCAGCUUUGCAUUAAUUGUUCAGGUAUAAGAAAAAAAAAAAAAGUAAAAAGUAUUUAUAAUAUUUUAUAUAACAUAAUAAAAUAUGAUAAAAUGUCUGAAUUUUCGUUUAUUUAUUUGUUUGUAUGUCUAUCUCUUUUUUUUAUUUUUUUAUUAUUAGUUAUUGGUAGCAAGAAAUGGAAUUAAACAUUUCAAUUAUUUUUUUCUGAAGGAGUGAAAUAAAGAUAUAUAAUAUUGCA